This 908-nucleotide ribosomal RNA is filed under the name Oidiodendron citrinum. RNAcentral describes it as "LSU rRNA". It matches the Rfam family "Eukaryotic large subunit ribosomal RNA", at positions 38 to 965 of the family's 3401-position model. The record is from RNAcentral. Lineage: Eukaryota; Fungi; Ascomycota; Leotiomycetes; Myxotrichaceae.
GCAUAUCAAUAAGCGGAGGAAAAGAAACCAACAGGGAUUGCCUCAGUAACGGCGAGUGAAGCGGCAACAGCUCAAAUUUGAAAUCUGGCCCCCUCGGGGUCCGAGUUGUAAUUUGGAGAGGAUGCUUCGGGUGUGGCCCCGGUCUAAGUUCCUUGGAACAGGACGUCACAGAGGGUGAGAAUCCCGUACGUGCCCGGUGGCCGCCCCCGUGUGAAGCUCCUUCGACGAGUCGAGUUGUUUGGGAAUGCAGCUCAAAAUGGGUGGUAAAUUUCAUCUAAAGCUAAAUAUUGGCCAGAGACCGAUAGCGCACAAGUAGAGUGAUCGAAAGAUGAAAAGCACUUUGGAAAGAGAGUUAAACAGUACGUGAAAUUGUUGAAAGGGAAGCGCUGGCAACCAGACUUGCGCGGGGUCGAUCAUCCGGUGUUCGCACCGGUGCACUCGGCCCCGCGCAGGCCAGCAUCGGUCUGGGCGGCUGGAUAAAGGCCUUGGGAAUGUGGCUCUCUUCGGGGAGUGUUAUAGCCCAAGGUGCAAUGCAGCCCGCCUGGACCGAGGACCGCGCUCCGGCUAGGAUGCUGGCGUAAUGGUUGUCAGCGACCCGUCUUGAAACACGGACCAAGGAGUCUAACAUCUAUGCGAGUGUUUGGGUGUCAAACCCAUACGCGUAAUGAAAGUGAACGGAGGUGAGAACCCUUAAGGGUGCAUCAUCGACCGAUCCUGAUGUCUUCGGAUGGAUUUGAGUAAGAGCAUAGCUGUUGGGACCCGAAAGAUGGUGAACUAUGCCUGAAUAGGGUGAAGCCAGAGGAAACUCUGGUGGAGGCUCGCAGCGGUUCUGACGUGCAAAUCGAUCGUCAAAUUUGGGCAUAGGGGCGAAAGACUAAUCGAACCAUCUAGUAGCUGGUCCUGCCGAA